Long non-coding RNA from Passer domesticus (house sparrow), 298 nucleotides. RefSeq lists it as uncharacterized. NCBI's taxonomy places the organism in Eukaryota, Metazoa, Chordata, Aves, Passeriformes, Passeridae. The transcript has 3 exons. The record is from RefSeq and is a predicted model, not a curated record.
UCUGCCUGUGGAGGUGGAAUUUCAGAAGUUUCCAGCUUCACUGGAUGUAUGAAGAGCUAUAUAAGAAGGAAAUACUUAUGAUUCUAGGCUCUAUCUGCUCUUGUGCUUUGCAACUGCAGGGAGAGGAAAAAAUGCUGCAAACUGCUGGAACACUCUAAGAAGAAGUGGGUUUUCCUGUAUUGGAGGCACUCUCACAAUCAAACGGCGAGGACAUGGACACAGAAAUUAACCAACAGCUAUGAGGUACCAGUGAGCUGCAUUUGAGUCCAGGGUUUCCUCAUAGAACUGAGAAGAGCAC